RNAcentral lists this ribosomal RNA (468 nucleotides) under uncultured bacterium. RNAcentral's name for it is "partial 16S ribosomal RNA". It matches the Rfam family "Bacterial small subunit ribosomal RNA", at positions 28 to 507 of the family's 1533-position model. The record is from RNAcentral.
GACGAACGCUGGCGGCGUGCUUAACACAUGCAAGUCGAACGGAAAGGCCCUGCUUUUGUGGGGCGCUCGAGUGGCGAACGGGUGAGUAACACGUGAGUAACCUGCCCUUGACUUAGGGAUAACUUAAGGAAACUGGGGCUAAUACCGGAUAGGAGCUCCUGCUGCAUGGUGGGGGUUGGUAAGUUUCGGCGGUUGGGGAUGGACUGGCUGCUUAUCAGCUUGUUGGUGGGGUAGGUGCUUACCAAAGCUGCGACGGGUAGCCGGCCUGAGAGGGGGGCCGGCCACAUUAGGACGGAGGUACGGCCCAGACUCGAAUGGGACGCAACGGUGGAGAGUAUUACACAGGAGGCGGGAGCCAGGUGUGACAACGCCGCGUGCGGGAAGACGGGAUGCGGGUUGUGAACCAAUGUCGCCUGAGACGAGACGUGAGUGACGGUAAUGGGUAAAGAAGCACCGGCUAACUACGUG